Molecule: ribosomal RNA, 465 nt
Filed under: Vreelandella stevensii
Lineage: Bacteria; Pseudomonadati; Pseudomonadota; Gammaproteobacteria; Oceanospirillales; Halomonadaceae
Description: partial 16S ribosomal RNA
Rfam family: Bacterial small subunit ribosomal RNA
Source: RNAcentral
CCUAGGGGAGGCUGCAGUGGGGAAUAUUGGACAAUGGGGGCAACCCUGAUCCAGCCAUGCCGCGUGUGUGAAGAAGGCCCUCGGGUUGUAAAGCACUUUCAGUGAGGAAGAACGCCUGGUGGUUAAUACCCAUCAGGAAAGACAUCACUCACAGAAGAAGCACCGGCUAACUCCGUGCCAGCAGCCGCGGUAAUACGGAGGGUGCGAGCGUUAAUCGGAAUUACUGGGCGUAAAGCGCGCGUAGGUGGCUUGAUAAGCCGGUUGUGAAAGCCCCGGGCUCAACCUGGGAACGGCAUCCGGAACUGUCAAGCUAGAGUGCAGGAGAGGAAGGUAGAAUUCCCGGUGUAGCGGUGAAAUGCGUAGAGAUCGGGAGGAAUACCAGUGGCGAAGGCGGCCUUCUGGACUGACACUGACACUGAGGUGCGAAAGCGUGGGUAGCAAACAGGAUUAGAUACCCGAGUAGUC